UAAAUCUUCAAGACCACCACCAACCUCCACUAGUGUUUCUCCACGGCUUCCUCAUCACCAUCUAACAGUAGUGUCAUCCUCUUCCUCGUCACCAAAUUUACGGCGUUGUCUGCAGAAGAUGAAGAGAGAGAGGUUGCGGGUGGAGAGUGGUUGGAGAGAGAGAAAGGCUGCAGAUGGAGAUUGAUUGGAUAGAGGGAAGGGAAAGAAGGAGAGAAGCGAGAACGACGUGAGAGAAGUGAGAGAAACUGAUCCAUUUUUUUUCUUGAUUUUUGUUUGGUUUGAAAUUGUCAUGUCACAGUUUAAUGUGUCAUGCCACAUGUGCUUAUGUACACUUAGGGAUGUGUGUUUAAGUAUGACUAGUGCUAUCGACAUUUAAAUGGGCAUUGUACGCAUUGGGUUCAAACACUUAACUAACGGUCAAAAUCCAAAUUUUAGUCCAUGGAUUAAAAUAAGUCAAAGCCCACCCAAUAUUAACCUAUUAUUAUAUAUAAAUAUGUUUUUAAUGAAAAAUCAAAUUUAUUAUAGACUCUAAAAACUGAAGAUUUCGCGCGAUACUACGGUGAGUCCGACCCCUUUUAUCUACUCGCGAGAGUAGUUAGUUUGUUGUGGGGUCCUUCGUGACCAAAAUGACAUCGUUUUGGUGCCGUUUCCAUUCUGUUUCUAACGAAACCGACGUCGUUUUCAAUUAUUUUUUACCAAAAGCUUGAAUAAGACAAAAGAAAACGAUCAAAAGCUUCACGGAUGCUCGAUCUAUAGGUGCAUGUAUCUGCUUUUCAUGUAUUUGUACGGGUGAACGACGUGGUUUCCACAUUUCCUCAAGCUCUCUCUUCUCUCCUUUCCUUUCGCUUUCUUCUUUGGCCAGAUCAGAUUAUCGAUUUUGAGGGUUGAUGCACGAGUGUACGCCGGAGCUGGGCUUCAUCAUCGAGAGGCUUCAGGUGAUAAUUUCGGAAUUAGAUUUCUUUGUGGCAGGUAGCUUACCAAAGUCUCUGGAUCUAAUCGAUUUCGAUCUAAUCGGUUUGUGGGUGUGCGGCGGAGGGAGGGUUUGAUCAUCGUUGUUCUUGGAGAUCUUCUCUACAGUAGCAUAGGGGAAUCAAGUAUGAUCCAGGAGGAGAAGUUGUUAUUCGCUGCUGCUUUAGAGAAUUCGGCAAACCAAAAAUUUGUUCUGCUCUCUGACAGGUUGGUUUUCUUCGCAACUUCUUUGAUUUAGUUUGCAAGAUUAAGCCAUCGCAACAAUAUUUUUGAAAUUAAGGCUUCUUAAUGCCAUAAGAUUGUUAUAUUUCAUCAAUAAUGAUUUAGUAUCGUAACUCCAUUUGGUGUUCUGCCUUAACAAAUUUUAGCUGUUUUGUUUGUAAAACUAAUUUUUCCAUUGCAUUUGUCAUCAAAUCAGCUAAGGUGCUGUGAAUUUUUCAUCAUGGCCUAUCUCUGUUCUUGGUUGGGUUUUGUGGGUCGGUGUUCAAAUUCCUAUUGAUUGUGCUUCUUUGUGUGCUUGCUGAGAAGGAAAUCUUAAAGCCAAAAGAUCAACCACAGAGUGCACUACGAAAAAUCACUUAGCAAUUCACGAAAACAAAAUCACCCAGAUUGGUAGAAGACUAAUCACUCGGUA
Molecule: long non-coding RNA, 1603 nt
Organism: Tripterygium wilfordii
Lineage: Eukaryota; Viridiplantae; Streptophyta; Magnoliopsida; Celastrales; Celastraceae
Exons: 3
Source: RefSeq, a predicted model, not a curated record